UUCUGCUCCAUGGUACACACUAAAUAGCCGCAGUACUCUGACUGUGCAAAGGUAGCAUAAUCAAUUGGCCCCUGAUUAGGGUCUGGAAUGAACGACUGAAUGGAAAAUAGCUGUCUUAUAGUAUUAGCUCUAACUUGGUUGUAAGUGAAAAUCCUUACGCGGGUAUAAUAGACGAGAAGACCCUAGAAGCUUCUUAUUUAUUUUGUUGGGGCGACAGAACUACAUUUAACUAGUUCUAAAUAACGUGACGUUUGCGGGAAGAUUAAGCUACUCUAGGGAUAACAGCAUAAUGUAUCCGUUUGUGACCUCGAUGUUGGACUAGGUUAGAAGUCCCUUAGAAGGGGAUUUAUUAAGCUCUGUUCGAGCAAGUACACCUACGUGAUCUGAUUUCAGACCGGA
Molecule: ribosomal RNA, 399 nt
Filed under: Iberus splendidus
Lineage: Eukaryota; Metazoa; Mollusca; Gastropoda; Stylommatophora; Helicidae
Description: partial 16S ribosomal RNA
Rfam family: Archaeal large subunit ribosomal RNA
Source: RNAcentral